ACUCCUACGGGUGGCAGCAGUGGGGAAUAUUGCACAAUGGGCGCAAGCCUGAUGCAGCCAUGCCGCGUGUAUGAAGAAGGCCUUCGGGUUGUAAAGUACUUUCAGCAGUGAGGAAGGCGGAGUCGUUAAUAGCGGCCUCGUUUGACGUUAGCUGCAGAAGAAGCACCGGCUAACUCCGUGCCAGCAGCCGCGGUAAUACGGAGGGUGCGAGCGUUAAUCGGAAUUACUGGGCGUAAAGCGCAUGCAGGUGGUUUGUUAAGUCAGAUGUGAAAGCCCGGGGCUCAACCUCGGAAUUGCAUUUGAAACUGGCAGACUAGAGUACUGUAGAGGGGGGUAGAAUUUCAGGUGUAGCGGUGAAAUGCGUAGAGAUCUGAAGGAAUACCGGUGGCGAAGGCGGCCCCCUGGACAGAUACUGACACUCAGAUGCGAAAGCGUGGGGAGCAAACAGGAUUAGAUACCCUGGUA
RNAcentral lists this ribosomal RNA (465 nucleotides) under uncultured bacterium. RNAcentral describes it as "bacterial SSU rRNA". It matches the Rfam family "Bacterial small subunit ribosomal RNA", at positions 335 to 792 of the family's 1533-position model. The record is from RNAcentral.